CCCUUAGAUGUUCUGGGCCGCACGCGCGCUACACUGAUGCAUUCAACGAGUUUCUUCCUGGUCCGAGAGGAAUGGGUAACCUUUUGAAAGUGCAUCGUGAUAGGGAUAGACUAUUGCAAUUAUUGGUCUUCAACGAGGAAUUCCUAGUAGACGUAGUUCAUCAGACUGCAUCGAUUACGUCCCUGCCCUUUGUACACACCGCCCGUCGCUACUACCGAUCGAAUGGUUUAGUGAGUUGUUGGGACUGGCACUGGGGGACUGGCAACAGUCCGCUUGAGCCGGGAACUUCUGCAAACUUGAUCAUUUAGAGGAAGUAAAAGUCGUAACA
Molecule: ribosomal RNA, 328 nt
Filed under: uncultured eukaryote
Lineage: Eukaryota
Description: partial 18S ribosomal RNA
Rfam family: Eukaryotic small subunit ribosomal RNA
Source: RNAcentral